AGUGAACGCUGGCGGUAGGCCUAACACAUGCAAGUCGAACGGCAGCACAGUAAGAGCUUGCUCUUACGGGUGGCGAGUGGCGGACGGGUGCGGAAUACAUCGGAAUCUACUUUUUCGUGGGGGAUAACGUAGGGAAACUUACGCUAAUACCGCAUACGACCUACGGGUGAAAGCAGGGGAUCUUCGGACCUUGCGCGAUUGUAUGAGCCGAUGUCGGAUUAGCUAGUUGGCGGGGUAAAGGCCCACCAAGGCGACGAUCCGUAGCUGGUCUGAGAGGAUGAUCAGCCACACUGGAACUGAGACACGGUCCAGACUCCUACGGGAGGCAGCAGUGGGGAAUAUUGGACAAUGGGCGCAAGCCUGAUCCAGCCAUACCGCGUGGGUGAAGAAGGCCUUCGGGUUGUAAAGCCCUUUUGUUGGGAAAGAAAAGCAGCAGGUUAAUACCCCGCUGUUCUGACGGUACCCAAAGAAUAAGCACCGGCUAACUUCGUG
Molecule: ribosomal RNA, 492 nt
Filed under: uncultured bacterium
Lineage: Bacteria
Description: partial 16S ribosomal RNA
Rfam family: Bacterial small subunit ribosomal RNA
Source: RNAcentral